This 396-nucleotide ribosomal RNA is filed under the name uncultured bacterium. Its description in RNAcentral is "bacterial SSU rRNA". It matches the Rfam family "Bacterial small subunit ribosomal RNA", at positions 29 to 424 of the family's 1533-position model. The record is from RNAcentral.
AGUGAACGCUGGCGGCAUGCCUAACACAUGCAAGUCGAACGGUAACAGGCCCGCAAGGGUGCUGACGAGUGGCGGACGGGUGAGGAAUACAUCGGAAUUUGCCCAUGUCGUGGGGGAUAACGUAGGGAAACUUACGCUAAUACCGCAUACGACCUAACGGUGAAAGCGGGGGACUCGCAAGAGCCUCGCGCGGCUGGAUAAGCCGAUGUCGGAUUAGCUUGUUGGUGAGGAACGGCUCACCAAGGCGACGAUCAGUAGCUGGUCUGAGAGGAUGAUCAGCCACAUUGGGACUGAGACACGGCCCAAACUCCUACGGGAGGCAGCAGUGGGGAAUAUUGGACAAUGGGCGCAAGCCUGAUCCAGCCAUGCCGCGUGAGUGAUGAAGGCCCUAGGGUU